Molecule: transfer RNA, 75 nt
Filed under: Candidatus Vogelbacteria bacterium
Lineage: Bacteria; Candidatus Vogeliibacteriota
Description: tRNA-Gln
Rfam family: tRNA
About the family: Transfer RNA (tRNA) molecules are approximately 80 nucleotides in length. Their secondary structure includes four short double-helical elements and three loops (D, anti-codon, and T loops). Further hydrogen bonds mediate the characteristic L-shaped molecular structure. tRNAs have two regions of fundamental functional importance: the anti-codon, which is responsible for specific mRNA codon recognition, and the 3' end, to which the tRNAs corresponding amino acid is attached (by aminoacyl-tRNA synthetases). tRNAs cope with the degeneracy of the genetic code in two manners: having more than one tRNA (with a specific anti-codon) for a particular amino acid; and 'wobble' base-pairing, i.e. permitting non-standard base-pairing at the 3rd anti-codon position.
Source: RNAcentral
UGGGAGAUCGUCUAACCGGUAGGACAAUGGACUCUGAAUCCAUCAAUCUAGGUUCGAUUCCUAGUCUCCCAGCCA